UGCAUGUCCAAAGAGGAGGAAGAAAACUGGAUUAAAAAGAAGAGUGGGAGAAACAUGAUGGCCAUCAAAGGGAAUUUGUGGUUGGCUGGGAGCUUUAGGGAUGUCUCAGCAGUGGAGUGAUGAUGUGAGCCAGGGGAGCCGGUGGAGCAGAAACCUCUGCGAGAACAAUGGACCCAACCAGCCCCUGUGCCACCACAUGCACCGAAGAAGGUGGCAGCCCUCAGCCAGAGGCACCACCUCAAGAUUGCGUGAUGGAAACAGCCUGGGGCACAAUAUUGCCACAGUUAUCACCACAAUAACACACAAGAGAUUUGAGAGAUCCCUCUGCUGGCCCCUCUGCUGCCAGAACCCUACCAGCCGUGAUAGCUGGUUCCUGGAGGCAGUAUCCAGGGAUAAGCGGGGCUGUGUGCCCAUCCAGGCACUUGGAAUACAUUCAGUGGCCCUGUUACACUGGCAAGUCUUCAAAGGGCCCCGGGAGGAAGGCUAUUAGGGAAGAAGAAUCCCUGGGAAGUUUAUUUUGUAGAGUGUGGCUAAAAGCAGGGGUGUACAGAGACCCCAGGGCACAGAAGGGAAAUUGCCCUGCCGCUUCGACACAGCUCCAGGCACAGCUCCAGCACACGCACAGCCCUUCCAGGCAGGCAGGCACCUCUUCCUGAGGAAGGUGCAUUUUCCUCUUCCCUUGAUAUUUGUGUGCCACAAGCUCCCCUUUCCUGCUUGACCCCUAGGGCAGCCUCAGCAAGGCUGGUACAGGAGACCUGUGCUCUUCUACUACAUGGGAUUAACUACAAGGAUCUUCUGCACAAACAUGGAAGAGGAAGAUCUCACCCUCCUUCCUCCAGGAUUCCCCUAGAAGAGGGAUUUCCCCAUGGGCCCCUGUGCCACGUAAAUCCCUGUUUCCUAUCCCAUGGCUGUGAAUUUGGUAGGAAGGAGAAAUUACAGGUAUUGAUCAUCCAGAGACAUUGAGGUUAUCAUCGCGGACUUCUAUCGCUUUACAAACGAGACGCCUAUGCCAGAGUCACGGAGAAGAAAGUGAAUUUAUUUACAACAAGAUUCCCCCUUGCACACGCUCCUCCUCCUCCCCCGCUGGAGACCAAGUCUGCAAACCCCGGCUCGCUGCCGCACAGGAACAAGAGAGGCCAGCACGCCUCGGCGGCACCAUGCUGGCGCUCAGGCGGCGUCUCUGGAAACCCCGUCUUCCUCCGGUCUGGGGAAGGGCUAUCUGUACACGGCCUUUUCUCUCUUAACAGAUUUUAUGAAGGACUAAUAGUGUAAGUCAGAGCAGACACUGUUUGAAGAACAGCCUACAGAGCACGAAGGUGGGAAACACUUGGGAAAAGCACAUUGGGUUACACCAGGGACGGCCCCGCAGAGAUGGUGCCGUCUUGCCAUUUUGCAGCUGGAAGCAGAUGAUGAGAGACACGUCGUGUUUUUAAGAACACACAAAAAAAUAUACAUGGACAAUUCCAGUCGUGGGUACAUCAAUUACAGAAGGCUUGGAGAUACAAACAUAUAUAUAUACUUAUGGAAUAUCAUAGAAGUAUAAUUCACGAGUAGUGUCUAGCCUUACUUUUCACAUCAUUUGUAUAUUUUGAUCGCUCCAGGAUGGAGCUUCUAAGAAAUAAUUGUGUGAGGACUUCCACAGAGAACAAUUUUAGGGCUCAAAAUGGUUAAAAUGUCUCCAACCAAAGUAGUUUAUUCUGUUCUCUUUUGUUUACACAUCUACAACACAUAUAUCCAAAUUUGCUUGGGUAAAAAUGAAAUUUAAUAAAAGAUACACUUUUUCAGCAUAGUACAACAUCAUUAAAAUUGCACAGAGGGGAAAAUAAAACUCUAAGUGAUAUUUUGAAUUAUUACUGUCCAGCCAAACACAAAUAUCUGAAGACAGAGAAGAAAGAAAGAAAGAAA
This is a long non-coding RNA of Oxyura jamaicensis (ruddy duck), 1905 nucleotides long. RefSeq lists it as uncharacterized. The record is from RefSeq and is a predicted model, not a curated record. The transcript is spliced from 2 exons. Lineage: Eukaryota; Metazoa; Chordata; Aves; Anseriformes; Anatidae.